AGACCCGAAACCCGGUGAUCUAGCCAUGGGCAGGUUGAAGGUUGGGUAACACUAACUGGAGGACCGAACCGACUAAUGUUGAAAAAUUAGCGGAUGACCUGUGGCUGGGGGUGAAAGGCCAAUCAAACCGGGAGAUAGCUGGUUCUCCCCGAAAGCUAUUUAGGUAGCGCCUCGUGAAUUCAUCUCCGGGGGUAGAGCACUGUUUCGGCUAGGGGGCCAUCCCGGCUUACCAACCCGAUGCAAACUGCGAAUACCGGAGAAUGUUAUCACGGGAGACACACGGCGGGUGCUAACGUCCGUCGUGAAGAGGGAAACAACCCAGACCGCCAGCUAAGGUCCCAAAGUCAUGGUUAAGUGGGAAACGAUGUGGGAAGGCCCAGACAGCCAGGAUGUUGGCUUAGAAGCAGCCAUCAUUUAAAGAAAGCGUAAUAGCUCACUGGUCGAGUCGGCCUGCGCGGAAGAUGUAACGGGGCUAAACCAUGCACCGAAGCUGCGGCAGCGACGCUGAUGCGUUGUUGGGUAGGGGAGCGUUCUGUAAGCCUGCGAAGGUGACCUGUGAGGGUUGCUGGAGGUAUCAGAAGUGCGAAUGCUGACAUAAGUAACGAUAAAGCGGGUGAAAAGCCCGCUCGCCGGAAGACCAAGGGUUCCUGUCCAACGUUAAUCGGGGCAGGGUGAGUCGACCCCUAAGGCGAGGCCGAAAGGCGUAGUCGAUGGGAAACGGGUUAAUAUUCCCGUACUUGGUGUUACUGCGAAGGGGGGACGGAGAAGGCUAUGUUGGCCGGGCGACGGUUGUCCCGGUUUAAGCGUGUAGGUGUGUGUUCCAGGUAAAUCCGGUUCACUUUAACACUGAGGCGUGACGACGAGGCACUACGGUGCUGAAGCAACAAAUGCCCUGCUUCCAGGAAAAGCCUCUAAGCAUCAGGUAACAUCAAAUCGUACCCCAAACCGACACAGGUGGUCAGGUAGAGAAUACCAAGGCGCUUGAGAGAACUCGGGUGAAGGAACUAGGCAAAAUGGUGCCGUAACUUCGGGAGAAGGCACGCUGACAC
RNAcentral lists this ribosomal RNA (1049 nucleotides) under Salmonella enterica subsp. enterica serovar Heidelberg. RNAcentral describes it as "partial 23S ribosomal RNA". It matches the Rfam family "Bacterial large subunit ribosomal RNA", at positions 711 to 1757 of the family's 2925-position model. Lineage: Bacteria; Pseudomonadati; Pseudomonadota; Gammaproteobacteria; Enterobacterales; Enterobacteriaceae. The record is from RNAcentral.